Molecule: ribosomal RNA, 620 nt
Filed under: uncultured Cladophialophora
Lineage: Eukaryota; Fungi; Ascomycota; Eurotiomycetes; Chaetothyriales; Herpotrichiellaceae
Description: eukaryotic LSU rRNA
Rfam family: 5.8S ribosomal RNA (bases 246-399)
Source: RNAcentral
CUUGGUCAUUUAGAGGAAGUAAAAGUCGUAACAAGGUUUCCGUAGGUGAACCUGCGGAAGGAUCAUUAAUGAGUUAGGGUCUUCUAGGCCCGAUCUCCAACCCUUUGUAUAACUACCAUGUUGCUUUGGCGGGCCCGUCUUUAACCGGACCGCCGGGGGUCUCUUGACCUCUGGCCAGUGCUCGUCAGUAGCCUACACAAAACUCUUUUAACCAUGUCAAAUCUGAAACUAGUUAAAUAAACUAAAACUUUCAACAACGGAUCUCUUGGUUCUGGCAUCGAUGAAGAACGCAGCGAAAUGCGAUAAGUAAUGCGAAUUGCAGAAUUCAGUGAGUCAUCGAAUCUUUGAACGCACAUUGCGCCCUUUAGUAUUCUGAAGGGCAUGCCUGUUCGAGCGUCAUUAUCACUAAUCAAGCCCGGCUUGCUGUUGGACCUCUUGUCGUUAAAAGACAGGUUCUAAAGAUAAUGACGGCGUCAGUUGGACCCUAGAUGCAACGAGCUUUAACUAGCACGCAUUUUAGUUGGCCCUUUUGACCCGGUCUUUUUAUAACCAUUUUCUAAGGUUGACCUCGGAUCAGGUAGGAAUACCCGCUGAACUUAAGCAUAUCAAUAAGCGGAGGA